UAAAAAACAGCAAACAAAGAUCAAGACUGAAAGACGGAGAAAAGCAUCAUGGGCAAGAUUGUUUUGCUUUUAAACUUUUCUGUAGUUGUGAGCUCCUUGAGCUGAGACUAUAUUCAACAGCAUCUUUUUAUCAUUUCACAAGCUCAUAUGACUGAUAAAACGGAGGAGUGACAAAGAGAGCGAAGAGGCACAGAGAAAACUUGAGAAAUGACUGGGAGAACGACACUCUGAAGGAGCUCAGUGCUAUAAAGAUCCCUUUAAGCAGUCUAUCUGCUGCUGUGUCCUCUUUCUGUCCUCAUUCACUCUCAUGCUGAAGUGGAAAUCAUGGUCAGCAUCCCCAUCUGUGUGUGCUGAGGAUCAGAGCUGUGAUCAAGACAAACUCCCUUUCGUCUCUCAUCUUCUGAUGAUGCAAUUUCUCCAUGACACAAAGAGCCUUCAGUUUUCAUCAAGAGAUCUUUCACUCCGUGAGGAGCUAUUGUUGUACGACAUGACAGCAACAGGAGAAGGAAGAGGAGAUGACACCUCAUCUGCAGAUGAAUAAUUAAAAAACAGAUUGAUCAAAGUGGGGCCAAACGCACCCUUUCAUUCACCUGUCAUUAACGCCAAGAUUGGCUUCUGGAAUAAUUCAUCUUUUUGUUCUCUGGCUGCUUAACAUGGACGUUGAUUUUCUUGCUCCAGGGCUCAUCAGAAUGUCGUAUUAGGAUCCUUAAAAGCAACUUGAUCCUCUUGAUAGCAGCUGCAGUGAGAUCACAUCCCUCUGCUUCAUCUCACGUUGUUUCCUGCCUUUGCAGACUUUGACUUUGAAAGUUCAGCAAUGCAGCAUUAGGAUUCUCAGCCCAUCCGCUUCAUUCUACUGUGUUAAGGAAUGAGACGAGAGCGUGUGCAUGUAUAAGUGAAAAUGUGUGUGUGAACUGGUUUUACUAUUCUCAACAACUUUAUUAUUAAUUUUUUUUAAUUGACUUGAUAAUGUCCAGAAAAUAAGUAUUUAUUAAUAACUUCUAAAUGUACUUCCAGUGGACCCUAAAUUAAAAUUCAAGGUGACUUUUAAAAUGAAGAAUGUAUUUUAUU
Carassius carassius (crucian carp) is the source of this 1068-nucleotide long non-coding RNA. RefSeq lists it as uncharacterized. The transcript has 3 exons. Lineage: Eukaryota; Metazoa; Chordata; Actinopteri; Cypriniformes; Cyprinidae. The record is from RefSeq and is a predicted model, not a curated record.